This 199-nucleotide unclassified non-coding RNA is filed under the name uncultured Chaetothyriales. RNAcentral's name for it is "sequence contains ITS1". Lineage: Eukaryota; Fungi; Ascomycota; Eurotiomycetes; Chaetothyriales. The record is from RNAcentral.
CCGAGUUAGGGUUUCGUCCGACGAGUCCGACCUCCCAACCCUUUGUCUAUUAUACCUUGUCGUUGCUUCGGCGGACCGGUCGCGACCAACUAGUCGUGGCCGCCGGGGCCCGUCCCUGGAAAGCGUCCGCCGACGGCCCAACCACAAACUCUUGUACCAAACCAUGUCGUCUGAAUUUACUUGAUUAAAAUCAAAAACA